This 30-nucleotide non-coding RNA is filed under the name Mus musculus (house mouse). The record is from RNAcentral. Lineage: Eukaryota; Metazoa; Chordata; Mammalia; Rodentia; Muridae.
UGCAUGCCUGAUGUGACAUUCAUAAAUUGU